RNAcentral lists this non-coding RNA (145 nucleotides) under Agromyces sp. Its description in RNAcentral is "FMN sequence". It matches the Rfam family "FMN riboswitch aptamer (RFN element)". From Rfam's summary of the family: The RFN element is a highly conserved domain that is found frequently in the 5'-untranslated regions of prokaryotic mRNAs that encode for flavin mononucleotide (FMN) biosynthesis and transport proteins. This element is a metabolite-dependent riboswitch that directly binds FMN in the absence of proteins. Lineage: Bacteria; Bacillati; Actinomycetota; Actinomycetes; Micrococcales; Microbacteriaceae. The record is from RNAcentral.
CAACGUGCUCCGGGGUCGGUGUAAUUCCGAGCCGGCGGUGACAGUCCGCGAACUGCGGGUGCGAGGUCCUCGACCUCACGCCCCUGGUUGAUCCGGUGGAAUUCCGGAACCGACGGUGAAAGUCCGGAUGGGAGGCGGCACGUGU